UGCCUAGGGAAGUAGAAAAACAAAGCCGGGAGCGUCGCCACGGCAAUUGGAAAACUUCAGGAGCUCUUAAGCGGUCGAGGUGCUAGAAAGUGUUUGGCGUCGUGAAGGAAAUACCUGCCAACGUAGAGAAGGGUCGACGGGAUCUUGGAAUUGAUGAGGUGAUGCCUUCCUUUACUCUUGGGAAACUGCAGUCUGCGGAUGAAGAUGAUGCAAGUCAGGAAUCCAGGGAGAGACAAGUGUCUGAGAGGCUGCCCUCCUCAAGCAUGGUCUUCCCAGCUCAGCCCUGCUGCAAGCAGAAAUUUCAGGACUGCAGAAUCAGGCUGAUUAAAUCAUAAGGCUUGUCCUAGCAAGGGCACCUGGAGCCACUCCUAAUAAACUCCUGGAAUAUCUCCUCAAAGUUUGGGAAAAAAUGAUGCCUACAGUAAAUGAGGUGGAGAUGAUGGAAAUUCCUCGUCAGAGGAAGGGAUCAAAGGCUCAGAAAGGCGGGCCUGUUAGAACUGACUUAUUUGUGCAACACCAAAGAAUCACCAGAUGACUAUGUUUCUCAGGAAGGGCCUCCCCAAAGCCUGGGAUCCAUGACCACUAUGUUAAGAACGCCUGGAUGAAAAUCUUCCUUACAGAAAGUUCACAGUGGAAAAUAAAUGGCAGGGAAGCUUGGAUACCGUGGACAUCUGAAGUGACCAAGGACCACCAGGUGGCAGCAGAGUCUCAACUAAACUGUCCACCAACUUGGGCAUCAAGUCAGGCGGCCAGGUGCUCCUGCAGAAAAUUACAAAAGUCUACACAUUGGAUCAACUCUAAAUCCAUAAUAUGUAACCUCAGUGGUAACCUCAAGGCUGCUGAAGUUUCCUCGUUUCAUCCUUAGUUAAUUCCUUGGGGCAUUGCUCAUAGAAGCAAUUCUAAGCCUUCUCCACUCCCUGAAGUCCCUUUCUGCAUUUCAGCUCCUCGACCACAGCAGAUGACCUCACAUCCUCCUUUGUCUGGAGGACUGGGACCAUCCAUCCAGUCCUCUGCAGGCCCUCUCCGCUGUAGACAGAGCACAAGACCUACAGAGUCCUCCAUGGUACAUUUCUUGAGCUGAAUGGGAAAGACAUCAGAAAUUUCAUCCUUUUCAAGGCAAAAUAAAGAAUAUUUGACAAGAAGAAUCAUUCAUCCAGAAUUUGUCAGACUCCCCCUUCAGCACUAUGGAAAGAGAAUCCACUCACUGGCCCACAGGCAUAGGCCAGUGUGCUCAGCUGGGUGCUCAGUCAAGAGGCCAAUAAAUUGAGAGACAAAUUGCUGGAGCAAGGAAAUAGCGACUUUAUUCGGAAAGCCAGUAGACUGAGAAGAUGGUGGACUAGUGUCCCAAAGAACUGUCUUGCCCAGGAUCUGAGAGCAGCCCCCAGCUGACAGCCACAGGGGAAUGGGGACCUCAGUCCUACAGCUACAAGGAACAGAACUCUGCCAACAACCUGAAUGAGUUGGAAGGAAAAUUCUUCCCCAAAGCCUCCUGAUGAAAUUCCAGCCUGGCCAACACCUUGAUUUCAGUCUUGGGGGACCUGAGCGCAGAACCCAGUUGGAUCUGACUUACAGAGCUGUGAGAUCGCAUCUGUGGAUACCCUGUUGAGUUGGGACGUCCCAAAGCAGAGGAGAACUGUGCCUCGUUUCCCGGGGUGAGGCUGUGGAGAAGACACCAAGUCUAGGAUGGAAUCUCCUGGUUCCCAAAACUGUCGGAUUGCCACGACCACAGGAGGUGUCCAGUUGCUCAGUGCAUCUUUGAGGAAGGAGCUCUGUCCGGAAAGUUCCUCUCCCUGUCCAAAGCCUAUGUUCUGGCAGAGAAGUUGCCAUUAGCUUGCUGUGGAGGAGAAAGCAAACGGAAGCAAAUUCCUCUUGGGGGCACUCUUCACUUCAGAAAGAAGGUCACGGGCCGAUAACUUCAGGGACACCAGACCCGGUUGCAGAGCUACCUGAUGUCAGCUUUGGCCAUGAAUUUGCAGAAGAAAAGAAAUGCAAGACCUUCACUACUUUGAUCCUUAUCACAUACCCCGGACUGCGGACUGCGAGCCCCACGUAUAAAAUCUUCUCCGAUUCCCCAAGGAGGGAGGCACAGUUCUUGAGACGUUAGCCUACUGUGUCUUCCCUUGGCCUGGCAAAGAAAAUAA
Molecule: long non-coding RNA, 2141 nt
Organism: Eubalaena glacialis (North Atlantic right whale)
Lineage: Eukaryota; Metazoa; Chordata; Mammalia; Artiodactyla; Balaenidae
Exons: 12
Source: RefSeq, a predicted model, not a curated record